UUUAUAGAGAUCAUGUUGUUUUUAAAACUGAUAGAUGAAAUGGAAGGUUAGGAUUGUUGGAACUGAUCAGUAGCACGAACACUUGCAAAUUAAGUUUCAAUUAGUAUUCCAAUAUAUUUUUAUUUUGUUUAGAUUUAGAUAAUAUGGACUAUGAGGUACACACUUAAUUAUUAGAAGUUGAAUUAGGCUGCCAAAAACUUUUGGGUACAUACUGUUUGUUACCUGACGGAAUCAAGUUUAUAUAGAAAAUUAACUAGGUAAUUAAUUUUCAACGUUCGAUAUGUAUAUAAAGUUUGUUUAGGUUUGUAAUAAUAUCAACUGUGAGGUUAAUUGAAGAUUAGGAGCUGAAUUAGGCUGCCUAAAAUUUACACUUACAGACUAUUUGUUGCCGGUAGGUAUCAAAUUUAUUUAGAAAAUUAAUGUUAGAUGUUGAGAAGUUGCUAACUAACUUCCUUGAAUUCAGCAUCUCUAGCAAAUCUCAAUAAACUAUAUGAUAAUGUUUGUGCAGUACGUGAGUAUGUUACGGUGAUCAUCCUUCCAUAUCGGGAUUGGGAUGCGGGAAGAACAAGAAAUUAUUGUUUUUUUAUGAUUUAUGAAAAAUUUACAAAAGGACCAACAUGUAUAUUUUAGGGGAGAAAAGAGAAAAGAAGAAGAAAAAAAGCUCGUGUGUUUUGUGUCAAGGAUCUCAUCACCAAGGAAGUUUCUCCUUUCCGGUCAGAGUAAUGAUGGUCUCUAUGUCCUAUCCGAGUCUUCUGUCAUGCCAAUUCCUCAAGCUUUUUGGUCUCUUUGCCUCUCUGCGACUGUCGAUCUGUGGCAUCGUUGUUUGGGUCAUCCAUCCCCUCGCAUUUUAAAUUUGUCUGCCGCUGCAGAACAGACCAGUUCUGUAGCAGGUUCGCCGGUGUCUGCUGUGCCGACCAGGCCCUCCACAGACUCUCCAGCCGGCCUACAGCUUUGUGUAGAUCUCUCCGUGUAUCCUCUCCAGCAACUUCCAGGUACAAGCUCGUCUCCUCCACGACCAACUACUCGUUAACGUCACAUGGUCCUCUGUCCUAGGCAACCAAAGACAUCACUGUCCACAACAACUACCGCCUCUGCUGCUUCCAUCAAUCGGGCAAUAUCUCCUCCUACUCAUGAACUGAUUUUUUUUAAUGAUGUUAAUAGGUAUGAGGUGUGGCAUAGUGCUAUAUGCGAGGAAAUUCAGGCCUCACGUGCUAAUAAAACUUGGACCUUGGUGUCGUUUCACCCUUUGAUGAA
Populus trichocarpa (black cottonwood) is the source of this 1254-nucleotide long non-coding RNA. RefSeq lists it as uncharacterized. The transcript is spliced from 2 exons. The record is from RefSeq and is a predicted model, not a curated record. NCBI's taxonomy places the organism in Eukaryota, Viridiplantae, Streptophyta, Magnoliopsida, Malpighiales, Salicaceae.